GCCAGGCGCGGUGGCCCACGCCUGUAAUCCCAGCAGCUCAGGAGGCUGAGACAGGAGGAUCAAGAGUUCAAAGCCAGUAGUGAGCAAUUUAGUGAGGCCCUAAGCAACUCAGUGAGACCCUUUCUCUA
This 128-nucleotide small RNA is filed under the name Marmota monax (woodchuck). The record is from RNAcentral. Lineage: Eukaryota; Metazoa; Chordata; Mammalia; Rodentia; Sciuridae.